UCAGAGAGAUUGAGCAGAGUGUAUUCAAAACUGUAUAAGGAGGCUGAAAAGAUAAAAAAAUGGAAAGUAAGUACAGAAGCUGAACUGAGACAGAAAGAAAGUAAGUUGCAAGAAAACAGAAAGAUAAUUGAAGCACAGCGAAAAGCCAUUCAGGAACUGCAAUUUGGUAAUGAAAAAGUAAGUUUGAAAUUAGAAGAAGGAAUUCAAGAAAAUAAAGAUUUAAUAAAAGAGAAUAAUGCCACAAGGCAUUUAUGUAAUCUACUCAAAGAAACCUGUGCUAGAUCUGCAGAAAAGACAAAGAAAUAUGAAUAUGAACGGGAAGAAACCAGGCAAGUUUAUAUGGAUCUAAAUAAUAACAUUGAGAAAAUGAUAACAGCUUUUGAGGAACUUCGUGUGCAAGCUGAGAAUUCCAGACUGGAAAUGCAUUUUAAGUUAAAGGAAGAUUAUGAAAAAAUCCAACACCUUGAACAAGAAUACAAGAAGGAAAUAAAUGACAAGGAAAAGCAGGUUUUUUAAAAAACCAACUCUUUGUAUUCUUUAUAUUUGCUAAUUCAUUAAAAACUUAAAAUUUCAAAAGAA
Molecule: small RNA, 579 nt
Filed under: Pan troglodytes (chimpanzee)
Lineage: Eukaryota; Metazoa; Chordata; Mammalia; Primates; Hominidae
Description: processed transcript
Source: RNAcentral